UUUAUCUAGAUUGAACGAAACGCUAGAUCAAACUAACAUUUACUAGAAUAUUUCAGAAUAAGCUAAUGACAGACUUUUUAGAUCAGAAAACACGUAGAAUUGGAUACUUUCAUCAAUCAAAACUGUACCUGGAUUUCUAGGCGUCUCGGAAAAUCUGUCCGAUAACGGCAAAUGCAACUUGCAAAAUAGGUCAAACACAAAUUUCUCUCUUGAAAUUCGAACUAAAAAACUGUUCGGACAUAGAAGAGCAAGUAUCCUUGACACUGAACUCGACAGAGAAGACGAUUUUAUGUAUUUUAACUGUCAUCUGUCUUGCACUUGUCCUUUGGAGCAUGUGUCGAAACAGGACUCUGAUACAAAAGACUUACAAGGAACUUUCCAACCGGAAUGUAUGGGACAGUCGGCGACCAUUGUUAGCUAUAUUGGCAACAUUUGGAUCGAUGAUUUUUGAUAUUCUAACAUUCACAAAAAAAGUUGAAGAUAACUAAACGCUAAUUAUCUGUUUUGGUCUUGCACUUUUGUUGACCUUUGCGUCGUUGGUUCUUGUCAGUAAUACGCCUACUAUUAGCAUAUGCGAAGGAGUCAGAAAAUCUUUCGAACGGUUUAUAGAAAAAUUUGAAAACUGUAUACUUUCAAACGGACCCAGAGAACAGAACACCGUUGCAUACGAUGCUGCUAACACAGAUGAUCAUGAUGACACAGCAGGAGAACAGUCUGUUUAGUUUUCGGAUUCAUUGUACAGAGUCGAUGAUGUGUAAAUACAUGUAGUUGAUAUCUUAUAUUAGUCCAUUAUAUUUAUGUCGAAGAAGACAAAUUUAACAAAACUUCACUUUCAUUUUAAAUUCACAUGAAUUGUAUGUGUGACUGAUUCCUUUAACAUCCAUUUUGUUUGUCAAUCACUGUGAUAGUUUUAAAAUUCUAUUUGUUUGGAUCUAUACAUAUGAGAAUAGGUAAUUUUGAGGAGAAAGGUCAAUUCGGUUCUUAUUAAGGAUCGAACCGUCUCUGGGACAAGUUUGCUAUUCCGCUGCAAAAGCUGCCACCUUAAUUUUUGAGGUAGGUCAAAAUAAGUUGAUAACUUCGUUCGUAUUGGUUUCCAGAUAUUUGUCCUGAAACCUUUUACACACACCGGAAUUGUAAACUUGUCCCGGAGACUGUUAUAUCAUGAAUUAUUAAGAAAAUUGAAUUUCAUUUGAAAGAAAUAUGCCAGUUUAAGUUUUAUAUGUCAUAUUAUUACACGAAACUAUAUGGAGUAAUUUUCUGUAAAAAAAGAAAAAACACCCGAAAAUAUAAUUGUUCUGGGUUUUUUUAUUAUUUAUAUACAAAAAUUACAUAAAAGCCAAAUGACGCUUUGAAAAUUCUGGGUCAUGAUUUUUUGUUUGCUUAAAUCUUUAGCCCAAACGUGACAAAAUUACAUAAUGAUACUGACGUUAGCGUGAAUGAAAUCUCUAAAACAUGUUGUUGAAUCAUCUAUUCAUAGCAUUUAUAAUUAAAAAGAUCUGCUACAGCCUUUUAAUAAUUUAAUUAUACAUUUUGAAGAAAAACUUGCAUUCUGUUUCUUUUUUUUUUCAUUUGUUUUAGUUUAUUUAUCACUGUAUAUACUCUACAUAUUGAUAUGUUGUUCUAUCAAUUUUGUUGCCGUAUUUGUUCACUAGACUUUUUUGUAAAAAUUGUAUAUUGCAAAACGGACUGUGUAUAUAAACAACCCCACCAGUAACGAAAUAUUGUAACUCCUGAAUAUUAUGUUAUUUUGUUCACAACACUUUAUUUAAAAAGAUUAAAAAAAAAAACCAAUAUGAACAUUUUUUAUCGAAAGGUUCUGAAAGUAGUUUUACAGUAAUAUAACAAAAUGUUUUAUUUUUCGGUUGCCCUAGCCAAAACUAGUAUACACUAAAUCGAAGCCUAAUUUGGCUACAAAGGGUCUUAGUUUCAAGCCUAAAAGAAAACAUAAAGCAUAUAUACCCAUUUCAUACAAUAAGUCGUGUUUAAGGUGUAACUUGGCUGGACCAAUAUCAUUUUAGAUCUAUUGUGUUUAAGGCAACUCAAAUACUGAAGAAAUAACAUGUCUGAUUAAAAUUUCAUAUCCUCUGUAACACAUUUUUAAAAAGUGUUUCAAUCUGAAUUAAUUGCAGCUCCCAUUUAUUACUAUUAUUUUUGAAAUUACAUUCAGUUGGGAGGAUAAAGUUUUUCUUUUAGACUUAAGUGAUCUCAUUAUUUCCUCACACAAAUUAAGUUUUUAUUUUUUAAUAAAUGAAUUGCCACAGCUUGCUUUAUCUAGUCUUGAAAAUAAUACGUUCAUUUGUGGUGUAUUUUGUUUUUUUAUCCUUGUUACUUUUUCAAAAUUUUUGAAAGAAAAAGGAUGACAAUGUUUAAUGUAUAAAAAGUUUAAAGAGAAUUAUUUCCCGCCAAAUUUUCAAUGUCAAGUAUAUCUCCAAAACAAGCACACGGACCUCUUAAUAGUGUUUUUGCUUUUUAGUUCCUUUAUUUAUAUACUAUAUACUAUUAGACCGUUGGUUUUCCGUUUGAAUGGUUUUACACUAGCAAUUUUUUGGGGCCCUUUAUAGCUUGCUGUUCGGUGUGAGCCAAUGCUCCGUGUUGAAGGCCGUACCUUGACCUAUAAUGGUUUACUUUUAUAAAUUGUAACUUGAAUGGAGAGCUGUCUCAUUGGCACUCAUACCACAUCUUCCUUUAUCUAUAUAAAUACAUAACAGUCUUUUCAAAACUCUUUUUAUUUUGAAGCAGAGUAGCGAACAUCAUUUAAGAGCAUUUUUUAAAAACACUAGUUCAUUUUGAGUGUUUAUGUGAAUUUUAUGUUUUAUCCUAUUGACUCAUUAUUAAUGUUAUGCAGACUUGUUGAUUUUGGAUGAAAAGCCAGUUACUUUACUUACAAGUAAAAUGAGUAUUUAUGUUUAUGUAUAUUCUUACAAUGUACAGUUUGUUACUAUUUGUUAUAAAACUGUUUUUGCUCGAUGUUAUUGCAAUCAU
Molecule: long non-coding RNA, 2982 nt
Organism: Mytilus californianus (California mussel)
Lineage: Eukaryota; Metazoa; Mollusca; Bivalvia; Mytilida; Mytilidae
Exons: 6
Source: RefSeq, a predicted model, not a curated record